Molecule: non-coding RNA, 960 nt
Filed under: Nomascus leucogenys (northern white-cheeked gibbon)
Lineage: Eukaryota; Metazoa; Chordata; Mammalia; Primates; Hylobatidae
Source: Rfam by way of RNAcentral
AAACAGAUGGGUUUGGUCCUGGCCUUUCUAUUAGCUUUUAGUAAGAUUACACAUGCAAGCACCCCUGCCCCAGUGAAAAUGCCCUCUAGAUCAUCCAGAUCAAAAGGAGCAGGUACCAAGCACGCACAAAUGCAGCUCAAAACACUUUGCUCAGCCACAACCCCAGGGGAAACAGCAGUGAUAAAUCGUUAGUAAUAAAUGAAAGUUUAAGCUAUACUGAUAUCCAGGGUUGGUCAAUUUCGUGCCAGCCACCAUGGCCAUACGAUUAACCCAAGUUAAUAGAACUUGGCAUAAAGAGUGUUUAAAGUCUGGCCUCAAUAAAGCUAAACUCCAUCUAAGUUGUAAAAAACUCCAGCUGAAAUAAAAUAUACUAUGAAAGUGGCCUUAAUACCCUGAAGACACAACAGCUAAGACCCACACUGGGAUUAGAUACCCCACUACGCUUAGCCCUAAACUCUAAUAGUUACAUUAACAAAACCAUUCGCCAGAAUACUACAAGCAACAGCUUAAAACUCAAAGGACUUGGCAGUGCUUUAUAUCCCUCUAGAGGAGCCUGUUCUAUAACUGAUAAACCCUGAUAUACCUCACCACCUCUUGCUCCCAGCCUGUAUACUGCCAUCUUCAGCAAACCCUGAAAAGGUUGUAGAAUAAGCACAAGUACACACAUAAAAACAUUAGGUCAAGGUGUAGCUCAUGAGGUGGCAAGAAAUGGGCUACAUUUUCUAUACCCAGAAAGUCUCACAACAACCUUUAUGAAAUCUAAGGGCUUAAGGAGGAUUUAGCAGUAAACUAAGAGCAGAGUGCUUGGUUGAAUAAGGCCAUGAAGCAUGCACACACCGCCCGUCACCCUCCUCAAAUAUUCUAGAAAUUACUAUUACUAAAAACUCUGUACACACAUAUAGAGGAGAUAAGUUGUAACAUGUUAAGCGUACUGGACAGCGCGCUUGGACAAACCAAAGU